Molecule: long non-coding RNA, 6813 nt
Organism: Dreissena polymorpha
Lineage: Eukaryota; Metazoa; Mollusca; Bivalvia; Myida; Dreissenidae
Exons: 2
Source: RefSeq, a predicted model, not a curated record
AAGUGGUUGAACAUUGCCACAAUAUGUUUACAUGCAUAGUCAAGUACCAUUUUUAUGUGUAUGUUUAAAGUUUAAACUAAACCCCAAACAACAAGAUCUAAUCAUAGGAGAGAUAUGUUUAUAUCUAAGAACAUUUAUAAAUAGGGAUGCCAGAGCCUGAUUUAACAGCUCUCAAAGGUAGAGUGAAGUUGCAUGUGUAAAUGCAAUUAUAUGAGAAGGAAAGGAAAAAAGACAAUAUAUGAUAACACAUAAGAGUGUGUAACUCUCAAUUAUAUAUUAAUAUUGCAAUUGAGUAUUGAGUUGUUAAAAAAUUAAUGAGUACAAGUUUAUGUAUGUGGCUCAAUGUUGAACACUUGCAGACAGGGAAUAUAGCCGUAAUGCUCCAACAUAAGACCCUGUCUGUAUGGAACUUAAGGAGGAUUGGGCUAUUGAAAAGAGAGAUCCCCCCAGAGUGGCAUUAAAACAAUAUUUAAAAGUGGGUUUAGUAAUAAACCCUUAUAUGUUAAGGGCAAUAACUUACGUGUCUCCAAACGGUCACCUUCAUAGGACCACAUAAAAAUUAAGGGUAAGACAAUGUGCUUUACAGUUAAAAAUGAGACAAAGACAGCUAAAUUUGUACAAGAUGUACAUUAUAUACAAUAUGUACAGGACUAUAUGCAUUUAUAUAUUUAAAAUACAUGUUGCCACCCUGGAGGGUUGAAAGAAGGAGAGAUUUUUGGAAGUGUAGGCAGAUGUGGGUGGGGGAAAAGAAGAGCCAGCAGAGGUGGUGUCACUCAGUUGUACUAAGGGAGGUAAUUGUGAUGAUGGAGUCUACAAUGGUUGUUUCCCCUGGACCAGAGGGAGUGCACGGUAAAUGAAAAAUAGUUUGUAUACUAUUGAAGGAAAAUUGAUAAUGGUAAGAUGUAAAAUGGUAAAAAGACCAAAUAUUACCUAGAUGCAUUAAGAUAAACCCAAAAAGCUCUAAUCUAACCAAUAUUAUUAGUAUACUGAUGAUAACAUUGGAGGAAAUAAUACUAAAGUACCUUGUAUGGUAUGCAAAAUGACAAUUAGACAGAAAAACCGAGGCAUUUUGCUAUAUAAAAUAGCAAUUUAAUAUAAAAAUUAGGAUAUUUGCUAUAAAAGUAGCAAUUUUAACAUGAGUUAAUGCAAUACAAAGUGAAAUGGUUGCUAUGGUGUAGGGAUAGCAAUAUUGAGAUAAAAAUUAAGGCAAUUUGCUAUAUAGCAGUUUUCACAAAAAUAAGGAAAUUGCUGCACAAGAUAGCAGUUAUAAUAAUCCUUAAUGUACUCCAAGGUACAAAAUUAGCAGUUUCAACAAGGUCGACAAUACUUUGUCCUAGAUAGGGCUAAAUAGGUGUUUAUAAUAGUAUAAGGCCCUGCACCGUGCACUCCAGUCCGAUAUGGUUCUUCGAGUUUGAAGGGGAAAGGGUGGGGUGUCAAAGAGGAAGGGAGGGGGUGCAAUGCAGCCAACAAUCCCAGGUUACUGGACAGCCUCGUCCUUUCUUGUAGUAAGAAAUGCCAUAAAAUAUGAUUAUAUUAAAAAACUGAAAAAAUGUAAAUGGUGGACUAACGUCAUACUCUCAUAAAAAAUGUAUUAAAAUAAAGAAGACCAGGUCAUUGCCAUUGGCCUGAUUUAGAAAGGGCAGGGUAGAACAAUAAACCCAUUAAAAACUAAAAUAAAGGUUGUGUAAAAGCAACACAAAUCCAACACAAUUAUUUGAUUACAUCAGGUUUGUGCAGAGAUGACACAUUUUUAAAAGAAAACAGUCACAAGACUGUAUAAUUAGGUGGGUGUUGGCUGCUCUCCCUCCCCCAAUGAUCUAGAUUUUGUCAGUUAUUUGACAAUCUAGUAAGUAUUUGGCGAGGGCAGAGAAAACCGGGCCCCUAGCUGCUCCCUUGGGGUCUAGCACGUUGGUAAGGUUAAAAACUAGUCCAUGGGAGUGCAAUGCAGCUUCGAGGUGGUCCCUCUGCGCCUUAUGGUUAGGACAGUGUAGCAGCAUGUGGGGCGCAGUGAGAGGUUCCUGGCACCUAGGACAUGCAGGGUCUAUACCGAGGACAUACUUUCCUGCGCCAUUGGGUAAUAGGGUGGUUCCCAUCCUCAGGCGCGUAACGGCUCUGUCAAGCACAAUGCUUGCUGAGUAUCUGUCAGGCGGCCUGAGGGUUUUCGCAGGUCUAGUAAAAGUAUGUCGACGGGAAGACAAAUUGUCGGUCCGGAGACUCGCCCAAAACAAAUUUCUUUGUCAAGGAGUAGAUCUCAGAAGGUGCCAGGGGUUCCCCAACAUCUACGGCCCCCCUCAAGAGGCCCUCUUUGGCCCCCCUGUCGGCCUGUUCAUUCCCACUGAUGUUGACAUGUGCUGGACACCAUACUAAUGUGACCUUUAAAGAUUUAUCUAGGCACUGUUGAUGAUGUUCCAAAAUGCUAGCUAAAAUAUCAGGCCUAGAUCUGCUAUUUCUGUUUUUUAUGGACUCAAGAGAUGACAUUGAGUCUGAUAAAAUAGCAGUUUUAGUAGGUUUAUUGACCAAUAUCCAGCACAGAGAGAAUUUAAUUGCCAAAAGUUCUGCUGUAAAAAUAGAGAGAUUGUUGCUGAGCCUGUGCGUUUUACUAAUGUUUUUUGAAGGGAUUACAAAAGAGUUGGCUACCAAACCAGAGUUAGGGCAUUUGGAGCCGUCAGUGUAGAUUUUUAGAUGCUCAGCAUACAUAUUAUCUAUAAGAGAGAGAGCUUCUGACUUGAUGAGUUGUGGCAAGUCAGUUUUCGUUAUUUUAUUAGAGAGUGAUAGGUCAACAUCAAUGGGUCCAAGCGUCCAGGGGGGGACCUUGGAGGGACUCAGGUCUGCUACAUGUACCUUGUCGAGACCGGCAUCCUCAACCAGUGUCCUAAUACUUGCACCAAAAGGUAGGGCGACAUGCUUAUGCUUAAGUAUUUUCCCCUUGAUGAAGGUGCCAGUCCCGACAAGUUUGUUAACGGGGUUUGAACCAUGCCGAGACUUAACCCUGGCCCAGAAAUUGAGGGACUGUUGUUUUCUACGCAAGUCAAGAGGUAACACACCGGCCUCCUCCUCUAGCAGUGCACCCGGUGUACAGUUUAGGGCUCUCAGAGCUAUCCUUAGGGCCUUGUGUUGAAUGGCAUCAACCAUUUUUAGGGCGUUUAGCUUAGCACAUGCAUAGAUUUGGGCUCCAUAAUCUAGCUUUGGACGUAUAAGGGACUUGUAAAGUGUUAAGAGGCUAUUUUUAUCUGAUCCGAAACCUGUGCCUCUUAACAUUCUCAUUAAAUUUAGGUCCCUUUCGCACCUUUCUGCCAAAUAUUUGAAGUGGUGAGUAAAAGUUAACUGUUUAUCUAGGUACUUACCUAGAAAUUUCACCACUUUUUCAAAGAUAAUUUUGGUGCCGCCUAAAUUUAAGUCCAAAGAGUGCUGAAAUUGUUCGCCAAAUAGUACUCCUACUGUUUUGAUUGGAGAAAUUUUGAAUCCCCAUUCAAUUGCCCAUUUCCAUAUGGAGUCUAAGCCUGCUUGAGCCCUCUUUUGCAGGCGUAACAUGUUAGACCCCUUUAACCAAGUGCCUGAGUCAUCGGCAAACUGGGAGAUAACCAUUCCUGAGUCUUUUACGGCAUCAGGUAGACCGUUUACGAUGAGGGAGAACAGAGUUGGGGAUAUUACGGACCCCUGAGGGGUUCCGCGGUCAGUUAUGGCUACCUCUGAUAACUCCCCAUCGACCCUGACCUGGAUUUUACGGCCCUCUAGGAAUGCUCUGAGGUAGUGGAAACAGUAUCCAGUGAUUCCAUAGUCAGCUAGCUUUUUUAGUAUGCCGAAGGUCCAUGUUAAAUCAAAGGCGGCCUGAAGGUCCAAAAAAAUUGCUAAUACUGAUUGCCCUUGAUUUUUUGCAGAAAGAAUAUCAUGUUGUAAUCUAGCUAGCUGAUCAAGAGUAGAUCGCCCCUUCCUAAAGCCAGACUGGAAGGGGUUUAGUAUAUUAUUUGAUUCCAAUAAGUGUUCUAAUCUAUUUUUGACCAUUAUUUCUAGUAAUUUACCUGCAUGUGAUGUUAGACUUAUUGGACGAUAUGAGUUUUGAUCAUUUUUGUCUUUACCAGGUUUAGGAAUUGGAAUCACUGUGGCCUGCUUCCACUCGGGUGGUAUCCUGCCUGUCCUAUACACCUGAUUGAAUAGGUUAAGCCAGAUUUUUAGAGUUAUGGCUGGCAUAUUUUUAAACAUUAAAUAUGCUAUUUUGUCAGGCCCCGUGGUGGUGUUGCUCCUGCUGUUAAUGGCACUUAAUAAUUCUGUAAUAGUGAAUGGUAAAUUUAGAGGCGUGUUGUUAUCCCCAGGCUCAUUUAAAAUAUUUCGGUGCUCAGUCUCAAACCGCUUUUGAUAAUUCAGAGUUUCAACGGGAAGGUUUGAGUCACUGGAGACAGAUUGGAAAUGUCGUACCAAAAAUUGAGCCUUGUCCCUUGGGGUAGUGGCAAUUUCGCCUUUGUAUUUAAGUAGCGGUACAGGGGUGAAUGAAUUUCCUUUAAUUCUGUGAAUUUUUUGCCAAAAAUCCCUAGUAUUUUUCUUAUUAAUGAUAGCUGAAUCACAGAAUUCUUUCCAAUUUUGAGUUUUUGCGUCCAAAAUAACCCGCUUUGCCUGAUUUUCGAGGGACCUAUAAUUAAGAAGAUUAUGCUCAGCGGGGUUCUUUUUAAGAAUUUUUAAAGCAUUUUUACGAUCCUGUACCGCAUUGGAGCACGCCUCAUUCCACCACGGGACCCUAUUUCUGGCUUUGACCUUGCCGGAGGAGACCGGUAUGCUACAUUCCGCUAUGGACAGUAUCCUGCUGGUUAAGUUAAUACAAAACAGAUUUGGGUCCUGGGAGUGAACAUCUGCAAGGGAGAGAUCUGAGCAGAGGUCCCUAAACUGAGCCCAAUUAGCUUUUUCCAAUAAAAACUUUUGCUCUCCUGAGCAUUGGGCCUCAGUUCCCUGUGCAAUAUAGUUGAGCAGGGUAACCUGUUGUGGGAGGUGAUCAGAUCCCAUGGUAUCUUUAACAGUUGCCCAUGCAGACGCACUUGCUAUCCUGGCAUUAACAUCAGUAAGGUCAAUGUGGGAGUUUAAACCAGUGGGGUUAAGCCUGGUUGGAGAACCGUCAUUGAGCAGUAUAAGAUCUUGCUCGUCCAACCAUUCUAUUACCGCCCGACCUUCUGCAUCUGAAUUUAUGGAACCCCAAGCAGGGUGAUGUGCAUUAAAGUCGCCUGUGAAUAUUACAUCAAAGGGUCCUUUAAUGGUCCUUAAUUCCUUAAAGAGGCCGUUCAGGGUUUCAAGAUCACAUCCUCUUGAAUAUAAAUUGACCAGGAUAAGAGGCCGGUUCUUGUCAAUAACCAAUUUAAUUGCUAAUGCCUCAAUAGCAGUGCUACCAUCAGAUUUAAAUUGGUUGUUCACUCCCAGGUGUUCAUAAUUAAUUGUAUUUUUAACCAGGUUUUCCGAAGGAAAAAACUGGUUAUUAGAUUGGCGAAUGCGGGCGGGCUGGCUGGCUGGCGGGCUGGCUGGCUGGCUGGCGGGCUGGCGGAAUAAGCUUGUCCGGGCCAUAACUAUGUCGUUCAUUGUCAGAUUUUAAAAUCAUUUGGCACAUUUGUUCACCAUCAUUGGACGGUGUGUCGCGCGAAAUAAUUACGUCGAUAUCUCCAAGGUCAAGGUCACACUUUGAGUUCAAAGGUCAAAAAUGGCCAUAAAUGAGCUUGUCCUGGCCAUAACUAUGUCAUUCAUUGUGAGAUUUUAAAAUCAUUUGGCACAUUUGUUCAUCAUCAUGGGACGGUGUGUCCCACGAAAGAAUCAUGUCAAUAUCUCCAAUGUCAAGGUCGCCACGACUAAAAAUAGAUUUAAAAAAAAAAAAAAACUUACAAAGGGGGUUAAUUUUUUUUGGUCAUUUCAAAAGUUCAGUUUGAGUUUUCUCCCUUUAUCAGAUUUUUUUUUCACAAUGAAAACCUGGUUUUGUGACAAUUUUGUCCCUUGUUAAUAUAUAUGGCAAGACCACCGGCAAUAUUUUGGUUUGAAGUAACAUAAUUCUUAAAUUCGCAGUUAUACCCUGGUAUUUGUUUUACAGAAAUAUUUGAAAAUUUAGUUUCCUGUAAACAUAUGAUAUGGGUAUUAGUGUUGCAGUCAAUAAAAUAUUUUAAUUCUGUGAAUUUGUUGGCGGAAAGACCACCAACAUUGAAUGAAAUUAUUUGCAGGUUACUGUCCAUAGUGGUGCGAAAUUAACUUGCGUUUAAUCUGAUUUAUUGAGUAUAUCUUUAUGUUUAUCUUGAUGAAAUCUGGGUUGGGAUUGUAUUUGGGUCAUCUGGGGUCAAAAACUAGGUCACUUGGUAAUAUAAUAGAAAAACCUUGUGUAGGCAAUAGAGGUCACAGUUUUCAUCCAAUCUUUAUAAAAUUUGAUCAGAAUGUUUAUCUUGAUGAAAUCUGGGUUGGGAUUGUAUGUGGGUCACCUGGGGUCAAAAACUAGGUCACUAGGUCAAAUAAUAGAAAAACCUUGUGUAGACAAUAGAGGUCACAGUUUUCAUCUAAUCUUUAUGAAAUUUGGUCAGAAUGUUUAUCUUGAUAAAAUCUGGGUUGGGAUUGUAUUUGGUUAGUCAGGUGAGCGAUUCAGGGCCAUCAUGGCCCUCUUGUUUAUUGUUUACCCUAGUUCCAGAAUCAUUUGACAUGUCGUUCAUCGAGCGUGAUGUACUUUAUGUUUUGUUUGUACAGUUUCUGCGUGAAGAUUUACUUGUUGUUUAUUUAAUGAAUUGUUUGUUAUUGUUAAAAUUUCGGAAAUGCUUUCUCGUUUGUGCACGUAUAGCUUGCCAAUAAUUACAUAUCAACAUGUUA